Molecule: ribosomal RNA, 622 nt
Filed under: Staphylococcus aureus
Lineage: Bacteria; Bacillati; Bacillota; Bacilli; Caryophanales; Staphylococcaceae
Description: bacterial SSU rRNA
Rfam family: Bacterial small subunit ribosomal RNA
Source: RNAcentral
CGCGCUGCAUUAGCUAGUUGGUAAGGUAACGGCUUACCAAGGCAACGAUGCAUAGCCGACCUGAGAGGGAGAUCGGCCACACUGGAACUGAGACACGGUCCAGACUCCUACGGGAGGCAGCAGUAGGGAAUCUUCCGCAAUGGGCGAAAGCCUGACGGAGCAACGCCGCGUGAGUGAUGAAGGUCUUCGGAUCGUAAAACUCUGUUAUUAGGGAAGAACAUAUGUGUAAGUAACUGUGCACAUCUUGACGGUACCUAAUCAGAAAGCCACGGCUAACUACGUGCCAGCAGCCGCGGUAAUACGUAGGUGGCAAGCGUUAUCCGGAAUUAUUGGGCGUAAAGCGCGCGUAGGCGGUUUUUUAAGUCUGAUGUGAAAGCCCACGGCUCAACCGUGGAGGGUCAUUGGAAACUGGAAAACUUGAGUGCAGAAGAGGAAAGUGGAAUUCCAUGUGUAGCGGUGAAAUGCGCAGAGAUAUGGAGGAACACCAGUGGCGAAGGCGACUUUCUGGUCUGUAACUGACGCUGAUGUGCGAAAGCGUGGGGAUCAAACAGGAUUAGAUACCCUGGUAGUCCACGCCGUAAACGAUGAGUGCUAAGUGUUAGGGGGUUUCCGCCCCUUAGUG